GUUAGCCUAACCGCAAGAGGCGACUACCACGGUCGAGAUUCAUGACUGGGGUG
RNAcentral lists this ribosomal RNA (53 nucleotides) under uncultured bacterium. RNAcentral's name for it is "partial 16S ribosomal RNA". The record is from RNAcentral.